Molecule: ribosomal RNA, 253 nt
Filed under: uncultured bacterium
Lineage: Bacteria
Description: partial 16S ribosomal RNA
Rfam family: Bacterial small subunit ribosomal RNA
Source: RNAcentral
UACAGAGGGUGCGAGCGUUAAUCGGAGUUACUGGGCGUAAAGGGCGCGUAGGCGGAUGUAUAAGAUUGAUGUGAAAUCCCUGGGCUUAACCUAGGAACUGCAUCGAUGACUGUAGAUCUAGAGUAUUGUAGAGGGUAGUGGAAUUUCCGGUGUAGCGGUGAAAUGCGUAGAGAUCGGAAGGAACACCAGUGGCGAAGGCGGCUACCUGGACAAAUACUGACGCUGAGGCGCGAAAGCGUGGGGAUCAAACGGG